AACGCACAUUGCGCCCUAUGGUAUUCCGUAGGGCAUGCCUGUCCGAGCGUCAUUCGACCUCUUCAAGCCCCGCUUGGUGUUGGGUGUUUGUUUCGCUGCUUCGGCGCGGACUCGCCUUAAAAGCAUUGGCAGCCGUCACUCCAGCAACGAGCGCAGUACAUUCGCGCGCGAAUCUGUCGUGGCGGCUUCUACAAGUACACUUGUCUUAGUUGACCUCGGAUCAGGUAGGGAUACCCGCUGAACUUAA
This 247-nucleotide unclassified non-coding RNA is filed under the name uncultured Pleosporales. Its description in RNAcentral is "sequence contains 5.8S rRNA gene, ITS2, 28S rRNA gene". The record is from RNAcentral. Lineage: Eukaryota; Fungi; Ascomycota; Dothideomycetes; Pleosporales.